CCUACGGGACGCAGCAGUGGGGAAUAUUGCACAAUGGGGGAAACCCUGAUGCAGCGACGCCGCGUGAAGGACGAAGUAUUCCGGUACGUAAACUUCUAUCAGCAGGGAAGAAAAUGACGGUACCUGACCAAGAAGCCCCGGCUAACUACGUGCCAGCAGCCGCGGUAAUACGUAGGGGGCAAGCGUUAUCCGGAUUUACUGGGUGUAAAGGGAGCGUAGACGGCCAUGCAGGUCUGAUGUGAAAGCCCGGGGCCCAACCCCGGGACUGCAUUG
RNAcentral lists this ribosomal RNA (273 nucleotides) under uncultured bacterium. Its description in RNAcentral is "partial 16S ribosomal RNA". It matches the Rfam family "Bacterial small subunit ribosomal RNA", at positions 338 to 628 of the family's 1533-position model. The record is from RNAcentral.